GGGAUCUUAGUUCCCCAACCAGGGAUUGAACCUGGGCCACCGCAAUGAAAGUGCUGAGUGCUAAUCACUGGACCGCCAGGGAAUUUCCUGCUUUUUUUUUUUAAGACCAAAUAUGGU
Balaenoptera musculus (blue whale) is the source of this 117-nucleotide long non-coding RNA. RefSeq lists it as uncharacterized. The transcript is spliced from 3 exons. The record is from RefSeq and is a predicted model, not a curated record. Lineage: Eukaryota; Metazoa; Chordata; Mammalia; Artiodactyla; Balaenopteridae.